GUGAGCUGGCGUGAGGUCUGCACUGGGCCGCGCCCCUGCAGGGAGACCCCCGGGCGCUGGGGCAGCUAACCAUAGGGGCUUCGUGGCUGCCUCGCUGCAGGGGCUGUGAGUGUUCCUUAGCGCUCUUGGCCCUGGAAGGGCUGGGGUGGGCUCUGCCCGUCCUGGCCCCUCUGAGCGUCUCAGUAGGAGUUGGAGCCCUCACACCUCACUUGCAUAGACCACUUUGUACAAUUCUACUUAAAAGGCUAUAAUCCCAUGAGUACUUAGGGAUCCAGACCGUGGUUCCGUCUCAAAGCAUCCAUGUUUUUCCCCACCUGCAACCAGGCCUGCUGAUUACUCCGGACCCUCACCAGCAGCCCAGUGGCCUGCACGACGUUUCCUCCACUUCAUACCAGCUUCAGCUCUACCUAAUCUCCCCGAAAUGGCUUCUGGUUCAUCACUGAAAAGCCUCCCGGGGAAGGGCUGUGUGUUCACUGUCAAACUUGGACCCUGCCCCCCUGUGCCUUGCGGGCACCCAUGGGAUGAACAGUCACAGGGCUGAAAACUCUAGCUGCCUCAGGCUUGGUGUGAAGAUGAGCAAGUUAGACACAAGCGCGUGCGUGUAAAACCGAGGGACUGUGAACAGGGUCAAAGGAGUGUGCUGGCACUGCCGUCGGACGUGAGGCUGCAGUCAGGCGCCUUUCCUGCCUGGUACCACGGGAGCAGCUGGGCGAAGCGGGCAGGGAGCCCUUUAUGACCCCUCACCACUGCAUCUGUCGUCGUUCAGUCGCUGAGCUGUGUCCGACUCUUCAUGACCCCACGAACCGCAGCAAGUCAGGCUCCUCUGCCCUUCACGACCUCCCAGAGUUAGUGCAAACCCAUGUCAGUUGAUUCAGUGAUGCCAUCCAAUACCUCAUUCUAAC
Long non-coding RNA from Bos taurus (domestic cattle), 902 nucleotides. The record is from Ensembl. Lineage: Eukaryota; Metazoa; Chordata; Mammalia; Artiodactyla; Bovidae.